RNAcentral lists this ribosomal RNA (450 nucleotides) under uncultured bacterium. RNAcentral describes it as "partial 16S ribosomal RNA". It matches the Rfam family "Bacterial small subunit ribosomal RNA", at positions 354 to 796 of the family's 1533-position model. The record is from RNAcentral.
GUGAGGAAUAUUGGGCAAUGGGCGAAAGCCUGACCCAGCCACGCCGCGUGAGUGAUGAAGGCCUUCGGGUUGUAAAGCUCUGUGGGGAGGGAAGAAAAAGCGGGAGAGUAACUGCUCUCGUGUUGACGGUACCUCCUUAGCAAGCACCGGCUAACUCUGUGCCAGCAGCCGCGGUAAUACAGAGGGUGCAAACGUUGCUCGGAAUUACUGGGCGUAAAGCGCGUGUAGGCUGACAUGCAAGUCGGGUGUGAAAUCCCAGGGCUCAACCUUGGAACUGCACUCGAAACUGCACGUCUUGAGUACGAGAGAGGGAAGCGGAAUUCCGGGUGUAGAGGUGAAAUUCGUAGAUAUCCGGAGGAACACCAGUGGCGAAGGCGGCUUCCUGGACAGUAACUGACGCUGAGACGCGAAAGCGUGGGGAGCAAACAGGAUUAGAAACCCUGGUAGUCC